UUCGCAAUGCCCGAAAGGGUGACGAAGCGACGCCGCGUGCGGGAAGAAGGCCUUCGGGUUGUAAACCGCUGUCGGGAGUUAAGAAAUGUAAGGAUGUUAAUAGCGUCUUUACUUGACUAAGGCUCCGGAGGAAGCCACGGCUAACUCUGUGCCAGCAGCCGCGGUAAUACAGAGGCGGCAAGCGUUGUUCGGAAUUAUUGGGCGUAAAGAGCACGUAGGUGGCUAUGUAAGUCGGUUGUGAAAGCCUUCCGCUCAACGGGAGAACAGCAUCCGAUACUGCAUGGCUUGAGUGUGGGAGGGGAGAGUGGAACUUCUGGUGGAGCGGUGAAAUGCGUAGAUAUCAGAAGGAACGCCGGCGGCGAAAGCGGCUCUCUGGUCCGUAACUGACGCUGAGUGUGCGAAAGCUAGGGGAGCAAACGGGAUUAGAUACCCCGGUAGUCCUAGCCGUAAACGAUGGGCACUAAGUAGAGGGGUUUU
This 477-nucleotide ribosomal RNA is filed under the name uncultured anaerobic ammonium-oxidizing bacterium. Its description in RNAcentral is "bacterial SSU rRNA". It matches the Rfam family "Bacterial small subunit ribosomal RNA", at positions 365 to 832 of the family's 1533-position model. The record is from RNAcentral.